This 484-nucleotide ribosomal RNA is filed under the name uncultured bacterium. RNAcentral's name for it is "bacterial SSU rRNA". It matches the Rfam family "Bacterial small subunit ribosomal RNA", at positions 33 to 507 of the family's 1533-position model. The record is from RNAcentral.
AGACGCUGGCGGCGUGGAUUAGGCAUGCAAGUCGAACGGUAUCAUCUUCGGGGGUGAGAGAGUGGCGAACUGGUGAGUAACACGUAGGUUAUCUACCCUCAAGACGGGGACGAACCCAGGGAAACUUGGGCGUAAUACCGGAUGUGAGCAACUUUAGUUGUUUGAAAGGUGGCGUAAGCUGUCGCUUGGGGGAUGAGCCUGCGUCCUAUUAGUUAGUUGGUGAGGUAACGGCUCACCUAGGCAAUGAUAGGUAGGCGGCCUUAACGGGUGGUCGCCCACACUGGGAUUGAGAUACGGCCCAGACUCCUACGGGAGGCAGCAGUCGAGAAUAGUCUACAAUGGUCGGAAGACUGAUAGUGCGACGCCGCGUGAACGAUGAAUCCCUUCGGGGUGUAAAGUUCUUUUAUAUGUGAGCAGUGCUUCUUAUAUUAACAGUAUGGGGAGAGAGAUAUUAGCAUAUGAAUAAGCAACGGCUAACUCCGUG